CCGAGGAGGAGAAGGCGAGGCGGGCCAGCGACGGCCGAGGAAGGAUGCCGAGCGGCCCCAGCCGCGCUGCCCUCCGCGUGGUCCGGUGGCUCCCGACACCAUGGCCCUGGCUGAGGUAGUAGUUUGUGCUGUUGGUCGGGUUGUGACAUUGCCCGCUGUGGAGAUAACUGCGCAAGCUACUGCCUUGCUAGUGCUGGUGAUGCUCAGCGCCGCGAGGACAAUGGCUGGGAAUCCCCUUUGUUUUCCGGGGCGCGGGGGCGCAGGGACAGCCUGCGGAGCCCCGGUACCAGCGCCGCGGAGACCGUUAGCUUCGCGUCUUCCCGGAGGAAGGCGCCAGGGCGGAGGGGUGGAGGCGUUGCGUGGGAGAGCCUAGGGGAGAGCGGAGCCGUCCGAUUCGCGCUCUGGAGGGAAGGAGUGGAAUUGUGUGAGAUGCCGACACGCAACUUUUCACCCCAGAUCAUUUUAACUGUGCUUUCAAUGGUUAAAGCCAAAUUUAAUUUGUACCUGCUCCAUUCGUGAUCUGUAGGGCGGAGUGGAGAGAACUGUGGUGUCGUGCAGAACUGGUGUGGGGACAGAAGGGUGAACCCCGUAAUUACAAAGUUUAUGCCUUACCACCUUAGAUCUAUGUUUUAAAAAUUUUAAUAUUGUCUCGAUAAAUUUAGAAUUUCUUGAAAAAUGUAAACCUAAAGCAAUUUAUAGCUUCUGUUUUAACUUUUGUUUGCAACUCCUUGAAGGAGAUUGAGUUUGUAGUCGAACUGCACUAUUCCGAUUUUUUAAAUGUGUAAAGCAAAAAUAAAUUAUUUCUACAUUGUGCUGUG
Molecule: non-coding RNA, 818 nt
Organism: Marmota flaviventris (yellow-bellied marmot)
Lineage: Eukaryota; Metazoa; Chordata; Mammalia; Rodentia; Sciuridae
Source: RefSeq, a predicted model, not a curated record